RNAcentral lists this ribosomal RNA (837 nucleotides) under uncultured bacterium. RNAcentral describes it as "bacterial SSU rRNA". It matches the Rfam family "Bacterial small subunit ribosomal RNA", at positions 28 to 878 of the family's 1533-position model. The record is from RNAcentral.
GAUGAACGCUGGCGGCGUGCCUAAUACAUGCAAGUCGAACGGGAGGCUUGGAGCAAUCUGAGCCGAGAGUGGCGCACGGGUGAGUAACACAUGGCUGACCUGCCCUCCAGAGGGGGAUAACGGCUGGAAACGGCCGCUAAUACCCCAUACGCUCCCUGGGGUUAGAGGACCGGGGAGGAAAGCGAUAGUGCUGGAGGAGGGGGCUGUGGCCCAUCAGCUAGUUGGUAGGGUAAAGGCCUACCAAGGCGACGACGGGUAGGGGGCCUGAGAGGGUGACCCCCCACACUGGGACUGAGACACGGCCCAGACUCCUACGGGAGGCAGCAGUAAGGGAUCUUGCGACAAUGGGCGAAAGCCUGACGCAGCAACGCCGCGUGCGGGUUGACGGCCUUCGGGUUGUAAACCGCUUUUCGAGGGGAAGAGGGAGGACGGUACCCUCGGAAUAAGUCUCGGCUAACUACGUGCCAGCAGCCGCGGUAAAACGUAGGAGGCGAGCGUUAUCCGGAUUUACUGGGUGUAAAGCGCGUGCAGGCGGUCGUGUAAGUGGUGCGUGAAAGCUCCCGGCUCAACCGGGAGAGGACGUGCCAAACUGCAGGGCUAGAGGCAGGUAGAGGCGUGUGGAAUUCCGGGUGUAGUGGUGAAAUGCGUAGAGAUCCGGAGGAACACCAGUGGCGAAGGCGACACGCUGGGCCUGGCCUGACGCUCAGACGCGAAAGCAUGGGGAGCGAACGGGAUUAGAAACCCCGGUAGUCCAUGCUGUAAACGAUGCUGACUAGGUGUUGCGGGUGAGAUACUCCGGCAGUGCCGAAGCUAACGUGGUAAGUCAGCCACCUGGGA